UUUGUAUCACCUUUCUAGAAUAAAUCUGGUAGUGAAGUGGAGAAGAGUCCUGAAACAUUCAGAUCUGGUAACGGAUGUUGGUAAAAGCUGGAUGUCUUUCGAGAUGACAAAUAAAAAGCUGAUGCCUGAUCAAAUUUUGACGUGGGAGAAGAAAUUUGUUUCUCUGUAUACCAGAUAAAUGAACUGGAUGUAGCAAAGAUGAUGGAUCUGGUAGGAGAAGUGGACAUAAUAAAGAUAUGGGAUCAUGGGAAGAAAAUUCCACCGUUGAGGAGGAGAUGCAAGCUUGAGUUUCAAACAAAAUGUCCAUAACUUGCAAAAUUGGGGGAUGUACUCCAACAAGUGGAGGUGGCCCCAAGAGAAUAAAAUUAUGUAAACAAUGACUUAGGUAAAUUUGGUUAUCUCACCAUGGAAGAAGCAUUGCUGCUCCUGCUGAAGUUUGAGCUUCCUGGAUGCAUCCUCCGAAAUCAGAUAAUCUCUGUUUAUGGGCUAAAGUUCAGCUAAUGGAUUUUGUUCAGUCAUUAGUCAAUGCAUAAUUUGGGGUAACUAUCUUGCUGAUUGUAGUCUUGAGAUUUUGGAUGAUCCUUUGGCGACUACACUGCUCAAGGUACUUAAGUUUCAUUAACUUACCUUUCGAAUCGUAACAUUAGACUUAACUAUAGAGUUGGACUUUUUAGCUGGUUGGUCGUCUGUGGCCUUUCUAGUCUUAAAAAAAGAAAUAUUAUGUCUGUGAAAGAUUCUAUUGUAGAGUUUUUUCUAGGACUGUUGAUAUUGCAUAUUAGGAGUCUCUACUCCGGAGGCUAAAAUGUACAGCCAGAGUAACUUGUGACUCAAGAUAUACAGAAGUUACUAAGAAGAUCAUGGAUCACAGACAUUAGAAAUUUCUUCUGAACUUGACAAUUCUUGAGCAAGGGUACUCUAUUUGCAUCUUGGUAUUCAGAGGGAAGUCUUCAAUCAAAGGUAUUUUCUUUUGCGAUAUUUCUUAUGUUGGUUUGCUGCAUGCCCAACGGGAUCCAUCCUUUAUUCGCCCCAUAUCUCGUGGUAUUCAGAGAUGCCUCAUGAGAUGGUGAGGAAUGCCUAGGUUUUGAAUUUAUUAAAAUGAAAAAUGUAAAUGUCAUGUGGCAUGUGCUAAGUUUUAGUGAGUGCCUCGGCUUGCUCAAGAGCAAAUGCACCUGAGUUUCAAAAACUCCUUUCAGUAUUGGUGGCAGCAUUGUAUUCCGCAGCUAUCGUCAUUUGAUGUUUGAAGCUGGGUAUAAUGCAGUAUGUUCAAUUCUUAUUAGUUGAUAAUUUUACUUUCAUGGUACUAGGAGGUUAACUAUUGUUGACAUAAAAAAUAGAAAAGACUAUGAUUGAGUCGACUUUAAGAAAGAGAAUGCCUCUUUUUUAUUACAAUAAAUUAAACUGCAAGAGUUUGCUUUUCCAUUGACCAACCAACCAUUUCCCCUCCACCCAAAGGAAACUAUUUUCCACUAUUUAUAGGAGGUUUCAGCCGGAAUUCCAUCAUAUCAAUUAAAUCAGCCACAGUUUUGAGCUCGGACAACACAUCGCUGCUCUCUGCUCUGAUUGGUUGAUGAGGCCGGUGGCAUUCCCAUCAGUGUUCCCUUCAGGUAAUGAUGUUCUGCAGAGGAUAGGGGGGCCAAACCAAUUGAUUAGUGGGUUUGGGCAGUACUGACAUCAUUUGCAACAAGUGUAGGUGAUUGAUGGGAUGAUGCGACAGGAUGUAAGGAAUUUACAAUCAUUAUGAUUCUAGAUAUUACGGUGGCAAUGAGCUCGAGCUGACCUUCGCAGACCAAGCUUGCAUGUGACUGAAGUAGCUCCUGCGAGCACUGAGUAUGAGAUCGUAGGUUGGCAGUCAACAACUAUAAUAAUAUUUCAAUCUGAGAAAUCCAAUCUCUCUCGACUCUAGGCUGCAGCUUAGAUUUCCUUUUACUAGUUUUACUUGUGAUUGAUAAGAAGCUUUUCUUUAGAAAUGUCAGAUGUAUGUUAGAGAUGGUGCACUUAAGAUUCAAUUUUCUAUCCAAAGUUUAGGGCAUUGAGGAAUUCAAUAUUUUUGGCACUUCAUAAAUAACUUUAAACAAUCUAAUAAUACUUACCUACUAUGUUUACAUAGGUUAACAGAAAAACUACUGCAAAUGCAUGUGUAAUUAGGAAGUGAUUGGUAGUUUUAGUCCUUUCGGUGGAUGACAAAUAAUUAUAGUGGCAAUAUCUUUCUAUCAAUCAGUUCAAAAGUUAUGUUGGUGGGUACUAAUGGUAUUUUUCUGCAGUACACUGGACUAUUUUAUGUUUUUAUUUGCUCAUGCUAGAUUAUCCUAAAAGCCUCUAUUUGGUAGAAAUUAAGAUUCGGAUUUUAAUCUAAAUCCAAGUCAAAGCCUAAUUUAAAACAUACAUUUUAUGGGAUCCGUAACUUUUCUACUACACACCUCAUCAUCUUUUAUCAAAAUCUACUAAAAAUCUGAUUUUAAUCCUCGCCAAACAGGGGAUAAAUAUACCGAGAAAAUUGCAUGCUCAACAAGUUAUCAUGAAUCACAAUCUCUUCAAUGGAACAACUUUGUCCACCCUGGUUUAAUGUUUAAUCAGUUGUGCAAACAUGAACUUUGCUAUGCCCGUCUAUGAAAUUAUGUGUCUUCUAUUUCAGGGUUCAUGAGGCCAUGAUUAUUCUUAUAUUGGUUCAGAGCUCUCUUUGAUUGUCAAACCACUGAGUAAGUUUGUUUGUUAUGAUACCUCAACGUAUGUUAGAGUAGGAAUGAGAUAGAAUCAGUUAACAAUUAUUUAUUUCCUCUUUUGAUAAAUGGCCCCGAUACAACUCCAAUUUCCUUAUCACUUGGAUAUUCUACGAGUUACAAAGGAUUUCUCUGCUUCUACUUUAAUAAAGCAGAUAUUGGAAUUGCAGUGCUGAUGUCCAGAAUAAUAACUCUCUUGCUAUAUAUGUGCUUAGAUUCAUUGCUGGAGUUUUCUUAACUAGGUAUGGAACGUUUCCAUUCUCUACUUUUCAUGAAGUUCUGAGUAACGACACUAUAUGAGGAUCUAAUAAGGGACAACUUAAGAUCGACUAUUACAUCUUAUACAUUUUUCCAUUGCAGUCAUCUGUAUCUUUGUUCUUGACACUAGGUUAAUGUUUAUCCUGGAGAAAUCAAAGUACAAAUGUUAAGCCUUCUUUAUACAUCACAUUUGAGGAAGUUGUAGUAAUUUUUACUGAAACCAUCAGGGUUCUCACUCAUUGCGUUGUACAGCAUCGAAAUGUAUUAUUAAUAAUUUGGCCCCCCGAGACAUAACUCAGUGAUAUAAAAGACGUGAAUGAGAUAGUAUCAACCUCACUGACAGCUGCAGUGUGAGAGUUCAAUUCCUAAAAUAUGGAAUUAGACUCUUAGUCGGCACUAGUGUACAGGCAAGCUCUUGUUCCCCAGCCUGCUGAGACAUAUCCCGCAAUUUACCUCCCUUACGAUGCUCCAAUGGUGGGACAGUGGGGACCCUCAAAGUUGAGGUUCAACUUUUAAUAAUUUGGAAAGAGAAAAAUUCUCUUACGUUAUUACUCAAGUUUUUGUAUAGGAAAUCAAUUAUAAUUUAGUAGGUGUGUUGAUUGUAAUCAUCACACGCUUCUCUCCAUGAGAUUGCUUGUCAAAAGUAGAAUAUUCUGAAUGGAUAAU
Molecule: long non-coding RNA, 3641 nt
Organism: Olea europaea var. sylvestris
Lineage: Eukaryota; Viridiplantae; Streptophyta; Magnoliopsida; Lamiales; Oleaceae
Exons: 3
Source: RefSeq, a predicted model, not a curated record